RNAcentral lists this ribosomal RNA (1372 nucleotides) under uncultured bacterium. RNAcentral describes it as "partial 16S ribosomal RNA". It matches the Rfam family "Bacterial small subunit ribosomal RNA", at positions 28 to 1381 of the family's 1533-position model. The record is from RNAcentral.
GAUGAACGCUGGCGGCGUGCCUAAUACAUGCAAGUCGAGCGAAUUGACAGAGGUGCUUGCACCUCUCGAUUUAGCGGCGGACGGGUGAGUAACACGUGGGUAACCUACCUAUAAGACUGGGAUAACUUCGGGAAACCGGAGCUAAUACCGGAUAAUAUUUAGCUUCGCAUGAAGCAAUAGUGAAAGACGGUUCUGCAGUCACUUAUAGAUGGACCUGCGGUGUAUUAGCUAGUUGGUGAGGUAACGGCUCACCAAGGCAACGAUACAUAGCCGACCUGAGAGGGUGAUCGGCCACACUGGGACUGAGACACGGCCCAGACUCCUACGGGAGGCAGCAGUAGGGAAUCUUCCGCAAUGGACGAAAGUCUGACGGAGCAACGCCGCGUGAGUGAAGAAGGUUUUCGGAUCGUAAAACUCUGUUGUAAGGGAAGAACAAGUACGUUAGUAACUGAACGUACCUUGACGGUACCUUACCAGAAAGCCACGGCUAACUACGUGCCAGCAGCCGCGGUAAUACGUAGGUGGCAAGCGUUAUCCGGAAUUAUUGGGCGUAAAGCGCGCGUAGGCGGUCUCUUAAGUCUGAUGUGAAAGCCCCCGGCUCAACCGGGGAGGGUCAUUGGAAACUGGGAGACUUGAGUACAGAAGAGGAGAGUGGAAUUCCAUGUGUAGCGGUGAAAUGCGCAGAGAUAUGGAGGAACACCAGUGGCGAAGGCGGCUCUCUGGUCUGUAACUGACGCUGAGGUGCGAAAGCGUGGGGAUCAAACAGGAUUAGAUACCCUGGUAGUCCAUGCCGUAAACGGUGGGCGCUAGGUGUGAGGGUCUUUUCACGACUUUCGUGCCGUAGCUAACGCAUUAAGCGCCCCGCCUGGGGAGUACGGCCGCAAGGCUAAAACUCAAAGGAAUUGACGGGGGCCCGCACAAGCGGCGGAGCAUGUGGAUUAAUUCGAUGCAACGCGAAGAACCUUACCUGGGCUUGACAUACACUGGAUCGGGCUAGAGAUAGUCUUUCCCUUUGUGGCUGGUGUACAGGUGGUGCAUGGUUGUCGUCAGCUCGUGUCGUGAGAUGUUGGGUUAAGUCCCGCAACGAGCGCAACCCUUGUCUUAUGUUGCCAGCAUUUGGUUGGGGACUCAUGAGAGACUGCCGGGGUCAACUCGGAGGAAGGUGGGGAUGACGUCAAAUCAUCAUGCCCCUUAUGUCCAGGGCUUCACACAUGCUACAAUGGUCGGUACAACGCGCAGCGACACUGUGAGGUGGAGCGAAUCGCUGAAAGCCGGCCUUAGUUCGGAUUGGGGUCUGCAACUCGACCCCAUGAAGUCGGAGUCGCUAGUAAUCGCAGAUCAGCAACGCUGCGGUGAAUACGUUCCCGGGCCU